AUACGAGGGGAGCAAGCGUUGUCCGGAUUUAUUGGGCGUAAAGAGUUCGUAGGCUGAUUUAUAAGUCGAAAUUGAAAUCCAAUGGCUUAACCAUUGACACGGUUUCGAUACUGUAAAUCUUGAAUUAUGCAGAGGUAAGUGGAAUUCCUGGUGUAGCGGUGAAAUGCGUAGAUAUCAGGAGGAACACCAAAGGCGAAGGCAACUUACUGGGCAUCAAUUGACGCUGAGGAACGAAAGCGUGGGUAGCAAACAGGAUUAGAGACCCUGGUAGUCCACGCCGUAAACGAUGAGUACUUGGUGGUGGAAGAUUCGACCCUUUCACUGUCGGAGUUAACGCGUUAAGUACUCCGCCUGGGGACUACGGCCGCAAGGCUGAAACUCAAAGGAAUUGACGGGGACCCGCACAAGCGGUGGAUUAUGUGGUUUAAUUCGAUGCAACGCGAAGAACCUUACCUGGAUUUGACAUGUUCGUCGCGAGACUAAGAGAUUAGUCUUUUCAGUUCGGCUGGACGAAACACAGGUGCUGC
Molecule: ribosomal RNA, 527 nt
Filed under: uncultured Fidelibacterota bacterium
Lineage: Bacteria; Pseudomonadati; Fidelibacterota
Description: bacterial SSU rRNA
Rfam family: Bacterial small subunit ribosomal RNA
Source: RNAcentral